CCGCGUUAUGUCCUCGCAGAUGGCCGACAGUCCGUUGUUGCUGAUGUCCAGAAACUCGAGGUUGCAGAAAACGCUGACGGACGACGGGAGAGAGGCUAACCGGUUGUAGUUCAGCCCGUUAGAGAAAAGGAGCCCACCUUGAAGUAUUUGAGCAGGAUGUCAGAGAAGUUGGAUCCCUUGACAAACCAGCCGUCUGGGACGACCUCAGUCUGCAGCCACUGGAUCACGCGACCCCUCAGUUCAUUGCGGUCAGCAGCGUAGCAUACCACUACAGGGAUGGGAACAUUUCCAUAGAUUGCCAGUGGGCUUUGCCAAAAGAAAAAAGAAAA
Molecule: long non-coding RNA, 329 nt
Organism: Larimichthys crocea (large yellow croaker)
Lineage: Eukaryota; Metazoa; Chordata; Actinopteri; Sciaenidae
Exons: 3
Source: RefSeq, a predicted model, not a curated record